ACGGGUGAGUAACACGUGGAUAACCUACCUAUAAGACUGGGAUAACUUCGGGAAACCGGAGCUAAUACCGGAUAAUAUUUUGAACCGCAUGGUUCAAAAGUGAAAGACGGUCUUGCUGUCACUUAUAGAUGGGUCCGCGCUGCAUUAGCUAGUUGGUAAGGUAACGGCUUACCAAGGCAACGAUGCAUAGCCGACCUGAGAGGGUGAUCGGCCACACUGGAACUGAGACACGGUCCAG
Molecule: ribosomal RNA, 238 nt
Filed under: uncultured Staphylococcus sp.
Lineage: Bacteria; Bacillati; Bacillota; Bacilli; Caryophanales; Staphylococcaceae
Description: partial 16S ribosomal RNA
Rfam family: Bacterial small subunit ribosomal RNA
Source: RNAcentral